GACGAACGCUGGCGGCGUGCUUAACACAUGCAAGUCGAACGGAAAGGCCCUGCUUUUGUGGGGUGCUCGAGUGGCGAACGGGUGAGUAACACGUGAGUAACCUGCCCUUGACUUUGGGAUAACUUCAGGAAACUGGGGCUAAUACCGGAUAGGAGCUCCUGCUGCAUGGUGGGGGUUGGAAAGUUUCGGCGGUUGGGGAUGGACUGGCGGCUUAUCAGCUUGUUGGUGGGGUAGUGGCUUACCAAGGCUUUGACGGGUAGCCGGCCUGAGAGGGUGACCGGCCACAUUGGGACUGAGAUACGACCCAGACUCCUACGGGAGGCAGCAGUGGGGAAUAUUGCACAGUGGGCGGAAGCCUGAUGCAGCAACGCCGCGUGCGGGAUGACGGCCUUCGGGUUGUAAACCGCUUUCGCCUGUGACGAAGCGUGAGUGACGGUAAUGGGUAAAGAAGCACCGGCUAACUACGUG
RNAcentral lists this ribosomal RNA (468 nucleotides) under uncultured bacterium. RNAcentral describes it as "partial 16S ribosomal RNA". It matches the Rfam family "Bacterial small subunit ribosomal RNA", at positions 28 to 507 of the family's 1533-position model. The record is from RNAcentral.